RNAcentral lists this ribosomal RNA (253 nucleotides) under uncultured bacterium. RNAcentral describes it as "partial 16S ribosomal RNA". It matches the Rfam family "Bacterial small subunit ribosomal RNA", at positions 524 to 776 of the family's 1533-position model. The record is from RNAcentral.
UACGAAGGGAGCUAGCGUUGUUCGGAAUCACUGGGCGUAAAGAGCGCGUAGGCGGUGUGACAAGUCAGAGGUGAAAGCCCGGGGCUCAACCCCGGAACUGCCUUUGAAACUGUCACGCUAGAGGAUGAUAGGGGAUGGUGGAAUUCCUAAUGUAGCGGUGAAAUGCGUAGAUAUUAGGAGGAACACCGGUGGCGAAGGCGGCCAUCUGGAUCAUUACUGACGCUGAGGCGCGAAAGCGUGGGGAUCAAACAGG